UACGGAGGGUGCGAGCGUUGUUCGGAAUUACUGGGCGUAAAGCGCACGUAGGCGGCUUUUUAAGUCAGGGGUGAAAUCCCGGGGCUCAACCCCGGAACUGCCCUUGAAACUGGGAAGCUAGAAUCUUGGAGAGGCGAGUGGAAUUCCGAGUGUAGAGGUGAAAUUCGUAGAUAUUCGGAAGAACACCAGUGGCGAAGGCGACUCGCUGGACAAGUAUUGACGCUGACGUGCGACAGCGUGGGGAGCAAACAGG
Molecule: ribosomal RNA, 253 nt
Filed under: uncultured bacterium
Lineage: Bacteria
Description: partial 16S ribosomal RNA
Rfam family: Bacterial small subunit ribosomal RNA
Source: RNAcentral